CCUACGGGAGGCAGCAGUGGGGAAUUUUGGACAAUGGGCGCAAGCCUGAUCCAGCAAUGCCGCGUGAGUGAAGAAGGCCUUCGGGUUGUAAAGCUCUUUUGUCAGGGAAGAAACGGUGGGGGCUAAUAUCCCUCGCUAAUGACGGUACCUGAAGAAUAAGCACCGGCUAACUACGUGCCAGCAGCCGCGGUAAUACGUAGGGUGCAAGCGUUAAUCGGAAUUACUGGGCGUAAAGCGUGCGCAGGCGGUUUUGUAAGUCUGUCGUGAAAGCCCCGGGCUCAACCUGGGAAUUGCGAUGGAGACUGCAAGGCUUGAAUCUGGCAGAGGGGGGUAGAAUUCCACGUGUAGCAGUGAAAUGCGUAGAGAUGUGGAGGAACACCGAUGGCGAAGGCAGCCCCCUGGGUCAAGAUUGACGCUCAUGCACGAAAGCGUGGGGAGCAAACAGGAUUAGAUACCCUGGUAGUCCACGCCCUAAACGAUGUCUACUAGUUGUCGGGUUUUAAUUAACUUGGUAACGCAGCUAACGCGUGAAGUGACCGCCUGGGGGAGGUACGGUCGCGAGAUAACUACAANAGAGUAGAGCGNGAGAGUGACGACGGACGACGACGAGGGAGGAGG
Molecule: ribosomal RNA, 618 nt
Filed under: uncultured bacterium
Lineage: Bacteria
Description: bacterial SSU rRNA
Rfam family: Bacterial small subunit ribosomal RNA (bases 1-541)
Source: RNAcentral